RNAcentral lists this ribosomal RNA (395 nucleotides) under uncultured bacterium. RNAcentral's name for it is "bacterial SSU rRNA". It matches the Rfam family "Bacterial small subunit ribosomal RNA", at positions 505 to 898 of the family's 1533-position model. The record is from RNAcentral.
GUGUCAGCAGCCGCGGUAAUACGGAGGGUGCUAACGUUGUUCGGAUUCAUUGGGCUUAAAGGGCACGUAGGCGGUCGGCCAAGUUGGAUGUGAAAGCCCUCGGCUUAACCGAGGAACGGCAUCCAAAACUGGCCGGCUCGAGCGGAGAAAGGGAGAGCGGAACUUCUGGUGGAGCGGUGAAAUGCGUAGAUAUCAGAAGGAACGCCGGUGGCGAAAGCGGCUCUCUGGUCUCCUGCUGACGCUGAGGUGCGAAAGCCAGGGGAGCAAACGGGAUUAGAUACCCCGGUAGUCCUGGCCGUAAACGAUGGGCACUAGGUAGAGGAAAUUCCGAUAUUUUCCCUGCUGUAGCGAAAGCGUUAAGUGCCCCGCCUGGGGAGUACGGCCGCAAGGUUGAA